RNAcentral lists this ribosomal RNA (587 nucleotides) under uncultured bacterium. Its description in RNAcentral is "bacterial SSU rRNA". It matches the Rfam family "Bacterial small subunit ribosomal RNA", at positions 59 to 643 of the family's 1533-position model. The record is from RNAcentral.
AAGUCGAACGGUAACAGGUCUUCGGACGCUGACGAGUGGCGAACGGGUGAGUAAUACAUCGGAACGUGCCCAGUCGUGGGGGAUAACUACUCGAAAGAGUAGCUAAUACCGCAUACGAUCUGAGGAUGAAAGCGGGGGACCUUCGGGCCUCGCGCGAUUGGAGCGGCCGAUGGCAGAUUAGGUAGUUGGUGGGAUAAAAGCUUACCAAGCCGACGAUCUGUAGCUGGUCUGAGAGGACGACCAGCCACACUGGGACUGAGACACGGCCCAGACUCCUACGGGAGGCAGCAGUGGGGAAUUUUGGACAAUGGGCGAAAGCCUGAUCCAGCAAUGCCGCGUGCAGGAUGAAGGCCUUCGGGUUGUAAACUGCUUUUGUACGGAACGAAAAAGCUUCUCCUAAUACGAGAGGCCCAUGACGGUACCGUAAGAAUAAGCACCGGCUAACUACGUGCCAGCAGCCGCGGUAAUACGUAGGGUGCGAGCGUUAAUCGGAAUUACUGGGCGUAAAGCGUGCGCAGGCGGUUAUGUAAGACAGAUGUGAAAUCCCCGGGCUCAACCUGGGAACUGCAUUUGUGACUGCAUGGCUA